RNAcentral lists this ribosomal RNA (251 nucleotides) under uncultured prokaryote. RNAcentral describes it as "partial 16S rRNA". It matches the Rfam family "Bacterial small subunit ribosomal RNA", at positions 525 to 775 of the family's 1533-position model. The record is from RNAcentral.
ACGGAGGAUUCAAGCGUUAUCCGGAUUUAUUGGGUUUAAAGGGUGCGUAGGCGGUUUGAUAAGUUAGAGGUGAAAUCCCGGGGCUUAACUCCGGAACUGCCUCUAAUACUGUUAGACUAGAGAGUAGUUGCGGUAGGCGGAAUGUAUGGUAUAGCGGUGAAAUGCUUAGAGAUCAUACAGAACGCCGAAUGCGGAGGCAGCUUACCAAACUAAAUCUCACGUUGUGGCGUGAAAGCGUGUGAUGCAUUGAG